CAGAGUGGAAUAGUGUGUACAUGUCACUAGGUUAAAGGUUACAGUGCCAAAAAAUGUAUUCACAUGAUGGCUGCCACCGCAACUGACAGCCCAUAUCGGGGCAUGCAUGUUUUACGAACAGACCUUGUUAAAUUGGCUGCUGAGUCAGGACAACAAUGAUGAGGAUGUGGUGGACAAGAAUGACCUGAGUACGCAGAAGCAACUGCUCAGCACAGAAGAUGACUGUCUGAUGAAAAGGCUCAGCCGUAUCACAGUCCAGUGAUGAGGGGGGAUGAUGCGGUCGUUCCAUGUCUUAAGAUCACAUCAUGAAAGACAUUUUAGCUGACACUUGGAAGGGAGAGAACUGAAGAUCUGCAACAGCAGUGAGCAUGAGCAUUGUUAUCGAGUUGACAUGGCAAUGGCAACAGUCGGACCCCAGGAGCCUCAGUCCAGGACAACCCUUCCCCUCCUCCCGACCCAUAGGUCCUCCCCUUUGAUCUCCUGCCCCAUAGCGUCGUUGAACAAUACCGGUCUGCUGGAAUAUCUGAGCAUGUUGAGUUUUCACAAGCUGUUCUCAACAACUGUCAUCUCCGUGUUGAUCGAUCUGCACUCGAGCCUGAGUAGUUUGUUAAGUUCCAGUGCCGAAGAAUAAAAAGUUGGAUAACUUGUUCCAUGCUUUGUGGGACUAACAGAGCAACAGCGAAUUAUGGGAGAAAAUCAAGAAACAGUUGAAGAAGAGUUAAAAUUCGAAGCAUAAGCUAUCCACAGGGGCUACUUCUGAUUUCAAUAGUUGUAGCAUAAUGGACCAUCCUGAUUUGUCCUCUAAUGCGUCCAAAAUGUUCAAAGUGAAAGUGCUUUUUACGCAGUUGCUGACAAAAAAAACUUUGUUAUGAACACUCAUAGCAUGAUUAAUACAUCGGGUGUGGUUCAGGCGUAAAUUCUGCACAUCAUCGUUUACAAGGUGCUUAAGGUGCACCCAUCAGGGUUUGUUACGAUCACAACACACUCCAAGACAAAACGGCCUCGCAUUGAAUAGACACUAGAUAAAGCGUUGAAAAAUGACAGCAGUUUUGUUGUGUGGUCCAGUAUGCCCUUUGACUUUCAACCCGACAUUAGGUAGAACUCUAACUAGGCCCUCAGCAAUAUCAGCGAGGCCAGCACUUCGUCUCACCUUCUUGAGCCUCAGCAAACAGUAUUAGCCAACAAGACAAAUAUCGUUGAAGUAAAUGUUGAUGGCAAUUCGCACCCCCUUCUUUAACAAAUACUACAACUCGCUCAAGAAAUUAAGUAGCAAGAGGUCUUGCAUCAGCCUAGCAUGCCACAUCUUCUCCAAUGUUGGCUUCAAACACCAGAGCCUUGAUGAGUCCGACUUUUGUCCCAUUCAAUGCUGGACAUGGACAACUUGUUCCAGACGAGUUGCUGAAGUGAAAAAGAUUUGUCAUUAUACAGCAGAUAGAGCAGGCAUUAAGUGACUUUCUGUAAUUGUGAAUGACCUCGAUAUGUUGCUCUGAAAUAAUGUGAACCUGACGCCCAAGGAGCAGUCUGUGAUUGCCAUUUAGCAGCACCUGUUUACUGACAUGCCAGGUUUUGGGUUUGUUGACUUUGGCAUCUGGACUUGCACCAUCUCUGUCUGUAUUCCAUUAAUGGCAGCCGCAGCAUUAACAACAACAGAGCCUGUUCCUCUUGGUCCAGGACCUUUGGACAAAUGCUCAAAUAGUACUACCCACAGGAUGAAGCCACUCUGAAUCCGGGGCUCCAUACUUUCUUGGCCAGGCGCCAAGGCUACCUCGUCAAUAAGCAGAGCACCAGCAUUGAUAUCGAGUUGGCCCAGCAACCGCACAAGUCCCGCCUGCAGGAGCCCCAGUCCAGAACGACCCUUCCCCUCCCCAGACUUCUAACUCCUCCCCCUUGACCUCCUGACUCAAAAAGUCAGCAUCAUUGAACAACUCCGUUCUGCAGGAAAUUCUGAGCAUGAUUCUGUUCUGAACAAACGCAAUGCCAACGUCAAGUUGUCAACACAUAAGCCUGGGUAGUUUUGUUAAGCUAGAGUUCCGCGUGGGCCUGAGAGGGACGAGUUUUACAGACACGAAAAGUUAUAGCAGUAGUUAUGGUAACGCUAACAGUCAGUUGUUGCUGUUGGACAUCACAACGAAUAUCAUGAAGAAUAAAAAGUUCAAUAACUUGUUCCAAUCUUUAUGGGACAAACAGAAAUUGAACAGGAGAAAAUCAAGGAACAAUACAAUCGUAAGCUCUCCUAGUAGGAUACUUCUGCUGCUGAUAGUUUGGACGACAGUAGGGUUACAGACUGCCCAAGAUUGUCCUCGCAGUGGCCGCCAAAAUAUCAUAAUAGACUUUUGGCAAUGUUACUGACAAAGAAAGGCAGUAAUGACUUGGUUGUGAAUACCCAGAGCAUGAUAAAUCCAUGCUGACUCAGAAUGGCAGUAAUGACUUGGUUGUGAACACAUCGAGCACGAUACAUCCAUGCUGACAGAGAAAGGCAGUAAUGACUUGGUUGUGAAUACCCAGAGCACGAUACAUCCAUGCUGACAUAAAAAUGCAGUGAUGACUUGGUUGUGAACACCCAGAGCACAAUACAUCCAUGGGGUGUGCAUCAGAUGGAAUUUUGACUAUUAUUGUUAACAAGUUGCUAAGAGUGAACACGUCUGGUUUUGUUAUGAGCACUUCCCACUCAGAGCCCAAAGGUCCUCGCAUUGAAGCGAUGCAAAAGAAGACUUUGAAAAAUGACAGCAGUUGUGUUGUGUGGUCCAGUAAUCCUUUCAACUCUCAACCUGAAGUUUAUCAAAACUCAAACUCAGCCCUUUGCAAUAUCACACCUUGCAACACAGUGUACUUUACCAUGAAUGUUUUGCGGUUUAAAACACCAAAAUUUCAAUUAAAAGUUUGUGCUCGUAACAUAUUGAUACGUUGCUAUUCUGAGUUCUAAUUACGAUAUCCUUAAUAUCAAUAAUAGAUGAAAUGUUUGGCAUUAAAAAAACAGGCGUGUAAAGUAAUUUGUUACAGUGCAUAUUCAUUUGUCACUAAAAAAAUUAGGGUUAAGUUUGCUUGUCAUUUCCUUUUUAGCAAACAUUAUUAGACAACAAAACAAACGUCGUUUAAGUGAAAGUCCAAGACAAUUCUGACCUAGUUUGGGCACAAGUACAACAACUAAGUAAAGAAAUUCACUUUGUCUUGCAUCAGCCUACAUGUAGAAAGCCUCUUAUAAACAUCUCCCAAGUUGGCUACAUCAACGCUUCCAACAGCGUAACUUGGCAUCGACACAUUGUUCCGAACGAGUCGCUCGAACUGAAACGAUCUGAUCCAACAGAGAGCAGGCUCUGCGUGACUCGUCUGUUAAUGUGACUGACCUGGAUAUGUUGCUUUCCAAUAAUAUGAGCCUUACUCCAGAUUAGCUGUCUGCGAUUGACGCAAUUCAACAACAGUUGUUGUCAGGAAUUUCCGGCUUUGGGAUGGCAAUUUGGCGUCGGGGCUUCAUCUCUGUCUUUGGCCUGGUCGCAGCAGAAGCAGCAACAAGAACAACAAUUAGUAUAAGAGCCUUCAUCUGGGAUAUGGGGUUUCAUAGCCUGUUCCUACAGGAACCCAUGCAAUCAUAGAUCGGUACCUAGCUGAACAACAGGCUGUCUGGUUAGCUGGGCCCAGGGCCCAGUGACACUUCCUGGCCCAGGACCUUGGGGCCAAUGCUCCACUAGUCCUACCCGCAGGGUGGAGCCACACUGAACCUGGGGCUUCAUACUUUCUUGGCCAGGGGCCAAGAUAUCCUCGUCAAUUAGGGACACAUUCCUGGGAUGCCCUAAGGUCUUUCUAUCUGUUCACAGAGGUCUUAUACUGACAAGUUCAAGCCCAGUGAGCGAUGUUCACAUUAUCAAACUUUGCAUCUCAAUAGAAACCUGGAUAGCAAAGCGUUGGUUUGUUUUUGAAGCAUUUGAACCAGCAACAGUCAUCAUUGGAGUUUCUGGCAUGUCUAUGGUGUGGAACCCUCAGUCUAUGAACAUCAUAACAGCACAUGAACCAGCAGCAGUCAUCAUCUAAAGAUUCUGGUAUAUUCAAGGUACAGGACCCUUCGUCUGUACAGAUCUUGCAGAACAAACUUCAGAUGCAAUUUGAAGAAAUCAAACCAUCCAAUCAGAAACACAGCCUGUUGCAGCAAUUGUUAACAUAUUGACCCCAGUCAAACCUAAGAAGCUCAGAGAUAAAUACUGUUUUAGAUGUGCUAGUCUUCACAUACCACCUGGUUUGUUCAACACUUACUCUGAAUCUUUGAAUGUUAUGACGGGUGAAAAUGAAUGACCGUGUUCAGAUCGAAAUGGCAGAAUGACACAUCACAACAAUUCAAGUUGAAAGCCAGAAAGUCACGUCAACAGCCACAUGUUGUUUGUUGCCAGCCAAGUUGUAUUAAAAAACACAAUAGCUCACGUUUUAUGUUAUAUGUGACCAACCAAGUUAUAUUCAUACAAAAACAACAGUUUAUGUUUUAUGGGAAUUUUUAUGCUGUCAGUCUUUAUGUUGAACUAUUUUGUUAAAUAUAUUAUUAGCAUGUAAAAUACUUUAAAAGCACGCAUAUUGCACGUAUAUGCAAUGUCUUUGUCUAUAUUAUGAUAUCACUACAUAUUGUGAUCAUGAUAAUAGUAAAUUAAUGGGAAAUACACUUUUAUCAAAGACUUUCAAAGCGUGAUAAAGCUGUUUAAAUGAGGCUGGUAACUUGGACAACAUUAAACAAAUAUUGGAGUAUUUUCAUGUUAUAAAACAUGUUUCAGUUUCCUGUUUUUACCCGUAAUGUAGAUAAGCUAGAUAAAAGUAGUGUAAAGAAAGGUUUAGAAGUUUUACGCUUGAGCUUUUUCUUUUUAUCAAUCUUUCUUAAAACAAUACUAGUCAUUUUGCUCAUUUGGGUCAGUAUUCGAUCAUGAAACUUAUUUGUAUAAUAGCAUACUAUUUCAUGGUAAUAUAAAUAGAUUCUUGGCAAAACUAUUUGAUCUACCUAAAUUAUCGAUUCUGUAUUUACUACCAGAACUUUGUUGAUUUUAAUGAAACUGAGAAUUAGAAAUAAAUAUUAAAAUUGUUUUAGAGUUUUAAGACAAAUGGCAAAAGUUAUGAAUGUUAAAGGGGCCUUUUCACAGAUUUUGACAUGUAUUGAAGUUUGUCAUUAAAUGCUUCAUGUUGAUAAAUGUAAACAUUGAAUCUUAAAAUAUCCAUUAAAAAUCAAGAAUAAAAUUCAAAAAAUGAAAAAAAAUAGUAACUCUCAUUAAGGCUCGAACCAAGGACCCCUGGAGUCCAGGAGUAAAUGUCUACCACUUAGACCACUCGGCCAUCCGUGCUCAUACAAGCAUUGAUGUAUUUUAUACUUUAUAUAAGCAAUCCUUGUAGUUUCACAAAAUAUAGAGACAACAACACAACUCUCCAAAUUAUUCAAUUGUUACGCGUUGCAACACUUCAUACCUUUCAGUUUUUUUAUUCGUAAAAGAUGCAUGUAACGGCUAUUUUAGAGCACGUUAAAUGUUCAGUAUGUCUGUUUCCUCACAAAUAUCAUAAGUACAACGAAAAUUUGCGUAUCUGAAACAACUUUUUUGAUUUUGUCAAUUUACCAAAUCGUGAAAUGGCCCCUUUAAUUUGUGUUGUUAGAUCAUAGACUUGCAUGCUCAUAAGUGUUCAAAUUUGUUAUCGGACGCAAUAGUUUAUUAUGCUUUAUAUUUGUAUAUGCACAUGAAGACAACCAGAUUGUAUCCUCUUUAAUCAGUGAGUAACUUAAUCAAGAUUUCUUGACCAUUGUAUAAAGUGUAUAGGUAUAUUUUGCCAUUUAUACAAAGAGCAACUGUGAAACAUUUUUAUUUUAAAUGUAUAUUUUUCAUUUCUUGUUGCCAUUUUAUAAGAUAAAAUCACUGUUUACAUUAAUUUGUACAAACCAAUGUAUAAAAAACAUUGCUUCUGUGAAUGCUCAUAUAUGUAUUAAACUCUAAAAAUAAUGCACAGUAACAUAAUCUGAAGAGACAAAUAUACUUGAGGCAAUAGAAACACCUCGUUAUUUGAAAUGCUUUAGAUUGAGAACAACUACUUAAACAAAUUUAAUUUUGUUUUACAUUAUCUAUAGAAAAAUUAGUAUCUUGUAAUUUGAAAUAUCUGUCAAUUACAAAUUAAUGGAUAGUGUUGUAAUAUGCUAACAAUUGUCAAGAAUUGCAUUUCUCUCUUCUGGUUAAACUAGAGAGCAAUAUUAUUUGCUUAAAAAUCAAAUUCAAAGAUGUCUCCUUUGUAAGUUAAUAAUUAUGUUUACUACUCAACAUAACAAGUAAAUACCUUCAGAAUCACAAAUUAUUUCACACUUUACUCAGCCUUAUGUGAAAGUCUAAUAUAAUUUUGUGGAAUAAACACUAACACAAAUAUAUGUUCUUAUAUUAAAUGUGAAAAGUAUUGACAUAUGGAUAACACUAAUGUUUGCCUUUUUAGCUCAUCUAUUUUUU
Long non-coding RNA from Dreissena polymorpha, 6446 nucleotides. RefSeq lists it as uncharacterized. NCBI's taxonomy places the organism in Eukaryota, Metazoa, Mollusca, Bivalvia, Myida, Dreissenidae. The record is from RefSeq and is a predicted model, not a curated record. The transcript has 12 exons.